This 492-nucleotide ribosomal RNA is filed under the name uncultured bacterium. RNAcentral describes it as "partial 16S ribosomal RNA". It matches the Rfam family "Bacterial small subunit ribosomal RNA", at positions 29 to 507 of the family's 1533-position model. The record is from RNAcentral.
AGUGAACGCUGGCGGUAGGCCUAACACAUGCAAGUCGAACGGCAGCACAGUAAGAGCUUGCUCUUACGGGUGGCGAGUGGCGGACGGGUGAGGAAUACAUCGGAAUCUACUUUUUCGGGGGGGAUAACGUAGGGAAACUUCCGCUAAUACAGCAUACGACCUACGGGUGAAAGCAGGGGAUCUUCGGACCUUGCGCGAUUGAAUGAGCCGAUGUCGGAUUAGCUAGUUGGCGGGGUAAAGGCCCACCAAGGCGACGAUCCGUAGCUGGCCUGAGAGGAUGAUCGGCCACACUGGAACUGAGACACGGUCCAGACUCCUACGGGAGGCAGCAGUGGGGAAUAUUCGACAAUGGGCGCAAGCCUGAUCCAGCCAUACCGCGUGGGUGAAGAAGGCCUUCGGGUUGUAAAGCCCUUUUGUUGGGAAAGAAAAGCAGCAGGUUAAUCCCCCGCUGUUCUGACGGUACCCAAAGAAUAAGCACCGGCUAACUUCGUG